GUGUGGGUUGUCCUGGGGAGCUACUGAGGUUAGGGAAGUGUCUCUGGGGCGAGUAAAGGAAUCUCUUCUGAAAACAUCUCAGGUGGCGAAGUUGUACUUUCCUUAUUUUUAACUCCUUCAAAAGUGAAAGUAAAGUGGAAUUCUGCAUAUUCCGCUUUAGGAUGGCAGUUUAAGAAUUAUUAGUAGCUGGGUGAGUGCGCACAGUCGCAGCCGCUGACGUACUUGAUAGUUUCAGGCCAGCAUGGGAAAGUAUGCACCAACUGUAAAUAGGAUUCACUGCUGGUCUGCUUCAGAGGAUUUCCUACUCUCGAAGUUCAUUCUAGAGGUUGACCAGAAUCAAAGAAAACUCCCAUGCAGGUGGGAUAGAGCCAGAGUUGAGUGA
Molecule: long non-coding RNA, 382 nt
Filed under: Bos mutus (wild yak)
Lineage: Eukaryota; Metazoa; Chordata; Mammalia; Artiodactyla; Bovidae
Description: lncRNA (ENSBMUG00000006680.1)
Source: RNAcentral